RNAcentral lists this ribosomal RNA (2798 nucleotides) under Escherichia coli. RNAcentral describes it as "partial 23S ribosomal RNA". It matches the Rfam family "Bacterial large subunit ribosomal RNA". Lineage: Bacteria; Pseudomonadati; Pseudomonadota; Gammaproteobacteria; Enterobacterales; Enterobacteriaceae. The record is from RNAcentral.
GGCGAUUUCCGAAUGGGGAAACCCAGUGUGUUUCGACACACUAUCAUUAACUGAAUCCAUAGGUUAAUGAGGCGAACCGGGGGAACUGAAACAUCUAAGUACCCCGAGGAAAAGAAAUCAACCGAGAUUCCCCCAGUAGCGGCGAGCGAACGGGGAGGAGCCCAGAGCCUGAAUCAGUGUGUGUGUUAGUGGAAGCGUCUGGAAAGGCGCGCGAUACAGGGUGACAGCCCCGUACACAAAAAUGCACAUAUUGUGAGCUCGAUGAGUAGGGCGGGACACGUGGUAUCCUGUCUGAAUAUGGGGGGACCAUCCUCCAAGGCUAAAUACUCCUGACUGACCGAUAGUGAACCAGUACCGUGAGGGAAAGGCGAAAAGAACCCCGGCGAGGGGAGUGAAAAAGAACCUGAAACCGUGUACGUACAAGCAGUGGGAGCCUCUUAAUGGGGUGACUGCGUACCUUUUGUAUAAUGGGUCAGCGACUUAUAUUCUGUAGCAAGGUUAACCGAAUAGGGGAGCCGAAGGGAAACCGAGUCUUAACUGGGCGUUAAGUUGCAGGGUAUAGACCCGAAACCCGGUGAUCUAGCCAUGGGCAGGUUGAAGGUUGGGUAACACUAACUGGAGGACCGAACCGACUAAUGUUGAAAAAUUAGCGGAUGACUUGUGGCUGGGGGUGAAAGGCCAAUCAAACCGGGAGAUAGCUGGUUCUCCCCGAAAGCUAUUUAGGUAGCGCCUCGUGAAUUCAUCUCCGGGGGUAGAGCACUGUUUCGGCAAGGGGGUCAUCCCGACUUACCAACCCGAUGCAAACUGCGAAUACCGGAGAAUGUUAUCACGGGAGACACACGGCGGGUGCUAACGUCCGUCGUGAAGAGGGAAACAACCCAGACCGCCAGCUAAGGUCCCAAAGUCAUGGUUAAGUGGGAAACGAUGUGGGAAGGCCCAGACAGCCAGGAUGUUGGCUUAGAAGCAGCCAUCAUUUAAAGAAAGCGUAAUAGCUCACUGGUCGAGUCGGCCUGCGCGGAAGAUGUAACGGGGCUAAACCAUGCACCGAAGCUGCGGCAGCGACACUAUGUGUUGUUGGGUAGGGGAGCGUUCUGUAAGCCUGUGAAGGUGGCCUGUGAGGGUUGCUGGAGGUAUCAGAAGUGCGAAUGCUGACAUAAGUAACGAUAAAGCGGGUGAAAAGCCCGCUCGCCGGAAGACCAAGGGUUCCUGUCCAACGUUAAUCGGGGCAGGGUGAGUCGACCCCUAAGGCGAGGCCGAAAGGCGUAGUCGAUGGGAAACAGGUUAAUAUUCCUGUACUUGGUGUUACUGCGAAGGGGGGACGGAGAAGGCUAUGUUGGCCGGGCGACGGUUGUCCCGGUUUAAGCGUGUAGGCUGGUUUUCCAGGCAAAUCCGGAAAAUCAAGGCUGAGGCGUGAUGACGAGGCACUACGGUGCUGAAGCGACAAAUGCCCUGCUUCCAGGAAAAGCCUCUAAGCAUCAGGUAACAUCAAAUCGUACCCCAAACCGACACAGGUGGUCAGGUAGAGAAUACCAAGGCGCUUGAGAGAACUCGGGUGAAGGAACUAGGCAAAAUGGUGCCGUAACUUCGGGAGAAGGCACGCUGAUAUGUAGGUGAAGCGACUUGCUCGUGGAGCUGAAAUCAGUCGAAGAUACCAGCUGGCUGCAACUGUUUAUUAAAAACACAGCACUGUGCAAACACGAAAGUGGACGUAUACGGUGUGACGCCUGCCCGGUGCCGGAAGGUUAAUUGAUGGGGUUAGCGGUAACGCGAAGCUCUUGAUCGAAGCCCCGGUAAACGGCGGCCGUAACUAUAACGGUCCUAAGGUAGCGAAAUUCCUUGUCGGGUAAGUUCCGACCUGCACGAAUGGCGUAAUGAUGGCCAGGCUGUCUCCACCCGAGACUCAGUGAAAUUGAACUCGCUGUGAAGAUGCAGUGUACCCGCGGCAAGACGGAAAGACCCCGUGAACCUUUACUAUAGCUUGACACUGAACAUUGAGCCUUGAUGUGUAGGAUAGGUGGGAGGCUUUGAAGUGUGGACGCCAGUCUGCAUGGAGCCGACCUUGAAAUACCACCCUUUAAUGUUUGAUGUUCUAACGUGGGCCCCUUACCGGGGUUGCGGACAGUGUCUGGUGGGUAGUUUGACUGGGGCGGUCUCCUCCUAAAGAGUAACGGAGGAGCACGAAGGUUGGCUAAUCCUGGUCGGACAUCAGGAGGUUAGUGCAAUGGCAUAAGCCAGCUUGACUGCGAGCGUGACGGCGCGAGCAGGUGCGAAAGCAGGUCAUAGUGAUCCGGUGGUUCUGAAUGGAAGGGCCAUCGCUCAACGGAUAAAAGGUACUCCGGGGAUAACAGGCUGAUACCGCCCAAGAGUUCAUAUCGACGGCGGUGUUUGGCACCUCGAUGUCGGCUCAUCACAUCCUGGGGCUGAAGUAGGUCCCAAGGGUAUGGCUGUUCGCCAUUUAAAGUGGUACGCGAGCUGGGUUUAGAACGUCGUGAGACAGUUCGGUCCCUAUCUGCCGUGGGCGCUGGAGAACUGAGGGGGGCUGCUCCUAGUACGAGAGGACCGGAGUGGACGCAUCACUGGUGUUCGGGUUGUCAUGCCAAUGGCACUGCCCGGUAGCUAAAUGCGGAAGAGAUAAGUGCUGAAAGCAUCUAAGCACGAAACUUGCCCCGAGAUGAGUUCUCCCUGACUCCUUGAGAGUCCUGAAGGAACGUUGAAGACGACGACGUUGAUAGGCCGGGUGUGUAAGCGCAGCGAUGCGUUGAGCUAACCGGUACUAAUGAACCGUGAGGCUUAACCUU